UGUACCAGUUAGUUCUCGAAUCCCAUCACUUUAAAAGAAUUCUAAUCAGUUCUGCCAGUAAUCAGCUCUCUUAUGGUCUACUCUUAGGUGAAGCUGAAGCUAACAAAGACCGCCAACAGCCAGGAACCUAAAAAUUCAGUGAAACUCUGCUUCAGCUUGCUGCAGAAAGAAGAAAUCCUCCUUUAUCCCCAGCAGGUUAUUGUCAUCCGUUGCUAGCAUUUGGAUUCUCAAGACGAGUAUGUCAUGAGAAAUCACCAUGUGAAGACAACCAGUUUUCUCACCUUACUCAUUUCCUCUCAUCACUUCUUGCCUGCUGAUGGUGAGUGAUGUCAGAAAACAUGCAGGGCAAAGGAAUAUGAAGAAAGAGGUCAACAAGAUGACUACUGAGCAGAUUAAAGUCCUGGCUGAUAAGUUGAGGAUGAUCCCUGGCUUCACAAGAGGCUGCAAUCAAUGAAGACGACAGACAACCAAGGAGAAGUCAGUAAGGCACAGAGUACUUGAGACGGCUAAGAGUGAUUUGGAGAAAAACAACCUAGAAGUCAGAGGGAUGCUUUUGGUUUUCAAUGUGUUUGUCAGAGAAGGCUGUACCUUUGAACAUUUCCAUAAAGGAGAUGAGUUGGGGGCAAGCAAAUGAUACAUUUCUGCUGACAGCUUUCAGUAACCCAACAACAGUGGAACAAGAGACAGCGUUAUGGUAGACGAAACUGGCAAAGGGAGGAAGCAGACGCUGAGGACUGUUGAGGCGUUUUGGACUAUCACAGGAGAGAAGCCAAGUUUCAAGUGGUGGAGUGGUGUGUUCCAAGUUCCUUUCUGAAGGAUCACUAUAGUGGUUUGCAAAGAGGAAGGACGGCUUUGGGUAUCAAACGGGAUGUAGAGAGAAGCCUCCAGUAAUUCAGGCAAACAAGAACUUACGGGCUAGGUCCCUUUCAGUAGACCUGGAAUCCGCCUGCAUCCCUCGCUCUACUCGAACAGCACAUGCUCAGACAGGGAACCGACCCCAAGAUAAGGCUUGAGAUAUACUGGGUACCAUCAGAUGACCAUGCUUCCACAGAACCACCAAGCCAGGGCAAAUUUCAGGAAUAACUUCAGGAGUUGCAGAGUAAAGCUGAUGGAAAAGGGCCUCUUCAUGGACUAUUCUAGAACAAACCAGGAAAAGGGAACACAGGAAAGAAUGAACGGUAUGGAUCAUACCUGAUCCAGGUGAUUUGGAUGUACAGUUACAUGGACUCCAGGAGUCUUUUCUCAAGAGAAAAAGGAUCACUCUUGGGGUAGAAUUGCCUCACCUGAAGUGGGGGAGGGGAGGUUGAAGGUAUUUCUUCUCUUCUCCGAGUCAAGAACUGAUGACCUAGACAAACACCUUGACCAAAACAGGUCACUUGGUACUUUAAAUUAUAUGAUUUAUACAAACUCUUACAAGACUUGCAGCUGUUCUUUUGGGUGCUUUUGGAAGUGGUUUCUUCACCCACUCACCUCCAAAAGGGGGUCCUUAAAAUGUAGCAAAAUGAGGUAUAGGGAUUGAGACAAAGACCAAAGAGCCAUUUUAGAGAGGAUAACCUCAGGAUGAUUGAGGAAAACAAAUGGAGUUAAUGUCAAAAUUCUGUAAACUCAGAUGUUUACAAAGAGAGCUAAAUGAAUAGAAUAAUAGAGACAAAAAAGAACUCUGCAUUACCACAAUGCUUCCAAAUUAUUUCUUUUUACCUUGAGGCUAUCCAAUUUUUUUUUUCUACUCCCUUGCUUCUGAGUUUACUGGUAGAUGUGAGCCAAUUCUCACACGAUUGUCUUAUUAAAACGAUUCCUCUCACAGCACAAUUGGGGGGAAAUUAAUCAAAGAACCCAGUUCUUCAAUCCAAGCUGUCACAUAACCCACAAAGCCUACAAAUGGGAAUUUCCAUUCAAGUAGUUGCAAAACAGUCUUUAAUACUUCAUAUUGUCUAUUGAUGGUCAGCUUCUUUCUUCAGUCAAACAGAACAAUCUUGUUUUCUCUAAUGAAAAGAAAAUUAAGUUAUAUCUUAAAAGAAGGGGUUUAUUGUUUGUCUUUAGACAAUAGACACUAGAUACCGCAGUGUAAUGAAAUAAAUGCAAGGAGGAAGGCGAAUUUCUCAAGCUUUUCUCACACAGCUCUACUUUAGCUGGAUAUUCCCCCGAAAGCCUGUCCCUUUGCAGAAGAGAGUUCUUUAGCCCUACAUAUGCUACUCUGUCUAAGAGAUGUACAGUGCCCAUAAAAUAGCCAAGCUCUCAGAAUCCUGAAGUAAAGAAAGCCAUUUAAUCUCCGUUAACCCAAUAUUUCCAAAAUUUAUGAGUCUACAAAGCUUUUCAAAUGCAGUUUCUACCAUAACUCUGUGGAGUUAGUGAUAUGGAAUAUGCCUGGGGCGUACUCCUAUACAGACACUGCAAGCAUGUCCUCAUGCACUCAAAGUCAAGCCCCUGAGAAAUGGAAUCACUUAGAGGUAAUCAAAGCUUUUGGUAGAAAAACAUAACUUUGAUGCUAAGAGCAUGGAAGAAAGAAAUUAUAUAGGCUGGGAACCAUGUACCACAGCUCUUAGAGAGAGUGGAGAUUAUAAAGAAUUGAAAAGAAAUCAAGAAACAGGAAACAAAAGUCUAAUAACUAAAUCUACUAGGCCAUAGAUUAACUUAAUGUUUCGAUGGUACUAGACAAAAUUUUCUAGGCUAUAGAGUAUUAAGACAAUAAUAAUUUUUACUAAACCUAUGGUACCUGGUACUUUGUAUCACUGCUGCCCAUGUGUUUUUAGAAAUCUCCACUUCUCUGGGAUUCUAGUGGAGAGAGUAGACAGGCUCACAAAGCUUCCUGAACAUCGAAUUUCUCUUACAAAACAAUAGUUUGUCGAAUUACAUGCCAACUAAACAGAUGGAUUACAUUUCCCUCUCAAUGUGCACAAAUUAAAAAAUUAAAGAGAAAAAGUACUUGGUAAAGCCAGCUUUGUAUUUUGCUGCAUCAGAAACAUUUAGGGAAAUGGUUUGAAAUGUUUGGCUAAAGCCCAGUGCCACCAAGCCCUCCUGGCUCCAGACACCAGUCCCAUUGACCGAAAAUUUCUAUUAAGCAAACAAAUGGGUGAGUGGUUUGUUGCUGAUUUCCCCACAAGUGUGGAGCAUGAAAUGUAAUAUUCCUGGAAGGAUAAACACUGUGUGCUUCAUAUUUUUACAAAGAUGGGUAGAGACAGUUACCAGGACAGUUUAGAAGUAAUAUUAACUGAGAAAUUUUCUAAAGAGAUCACCUUUAUCUGUUAAUAGAGAAAUUGAAAAUGAAGCUCAUAGCAACAACAAAAAACACUAUAGAAAUUGGUAUAGUAAGGUCUUAAUUGCCUAAAGUUCAACAACUAUG
Cricetulus griseus (Chinese hamster) is the source of this 3340-nucleotide non-coding RNA. The record is from RefSeq and is a predicted model, not a curated record. NCBI's taxonomy places the organism in Eukaryota, Metazoa, Chordata, Mammalia, Rodentia, Cricetidae.